ACUGUUUAUGAAACUUACUAUAAUGUUUAUAAAACUUAACGGUACAACACUGUUUAUGAAACUUAACGAUAGAUGCUCGUCCCAGAUUUUCAAGUUCUUUCACCAAACUGCAAUAAAAAGGAUUAAAAAAUAUGAUAGAGAUUAACGUCCACGUCGUUAAAGUCAUGCAAGGCUAAUAGCUUAAUACCAUUACUAGAAAAAUGGGUGAUUAGUCUAACGAUGUUGUCAGUGAUGUUGCCCCACCUCUACCCCCAACCAUCUCAGCCCACACCUAACCGACUCCCUCCCAACCAUACCCCCUCAAAUGUGGUUCUGAAUCGAACGAAACCCACUUCAAUUUGAAAUUCUAAUUUUAGAGGAAUAAAAUAUGCUUGGAUUAUGUCAAAGGGUUAUGCAACUGAAGGAUUGGUUGGGUGCUCUUUGCAUGCGCCUUUAGUAAGGUUUUUUUUGUUUUUAGUUUUCUUUCUUUUGUCUUUAUCAUUAAAUAAAGUUAUAUGAUUUUUUUUAUAUUAAAAUUCAAAGUUUUGAAGCCAUUUUCAUUAGUUUUCCUAAAAAAAUUUUAGCCAAAUAGUCUUUGAUAUUGUCAAAACUCUUCAUUUUGAUCCCUGUCUUUGAAAAUUAAUAGAAGUGGUCCUUGAGUUUGCCCACCGUCAAUCAUUUCGGUUCUUUUGUGAAAAAUCUUCGUUAAAUGGAAAAGCAAGUGGAAUGAUUGAUUGGACAAAAUACCCUUAAUUUAACCGAGAUUUUUUACAAAAUGACUAAAAUGAUUAACCGUUGACAAGCUUAUGGACCACUUCUAUCGAUUUUAAUAUCAAGAAACAAACUAAAGAGUGAUGCCAAUUUCUGUGACUAUUUUGGCUAAAAAUGCUAAAAUAUAAACUUGUUUAUACCAUACUUAGGGCAUCCAUAUUUAUAUCUCGUAUAAAUACUUUGGGGACUCAAAUGUAAUUAUGUAAUAAAUGGAAUGGCAAAUAUGUAAUAAGUGAUGAGCCCUUAUUCUAUAAAAAGGCCUCCUCACCCUUACAAACCUCAAUCCCUCUCAUCCUCUCAAAACUCUCACUCUCAUAUUCAGAGCUCUCUCUCCUUCAGAAAUACAAUAUCAAUGUGGACGUAGCCCAAACCUUGGGGUGAAUCACGAUACAUCUUGUGUUAUUUACAUUUCUUACAGAUUCACGGUCGGAUUUACGUUGUUCCAAGACCUCCGGUUUUGUGCAUCAACAUUUGACGCCGUCUGUGGGAAACGAUACAAAAAGUUGUGUCGGUUCUCUUUCAUUUUUUUUUUCACCUCUGCCUUGAAUCUGCAAAAUCACAAAAAGCCCAGUCCUUUUGAGAAAACGACAAGCACCAGGAGAAAGAAUAUCUGAGUGAGAAACCCAAAUAACAGAUAAGCGAGUAGAGAAGCACCAUCGCCACCAUGUGUU
This 1421-nucleotide long non-coding RNA is filed under the name Malus domestica (apple). RNAcentral's name for it is "long non-coding RNA (MDOM_LNC016277)". Lineage: Eukaryota; Viridiplantae; Streptophyta; Magnoliopsida; Rosales; Rosaceae. The record is from RNAcentral.